Molecule: unclassified non-coding RNA, 218 nt
Filed under: uncultured Cantharellales
Lineage: Eukaryota; Fungi; Basidiomycota; Agaricomycetes; Cantharellales
Description: sequence contains ITS1
Source: RNAcentral
AAGAAACAUGGACGUGGCCUGGGAGGGAGGUUGUGCUGGCGCCACCCGCGCAUGUGCACGCCCCCGCCUUUGCCCGCUCAUCCAACUCACACCUGUGCACCUUCCGAUCUCGUCGGACGGGAGGGUUCCCCCUCGGGGGGGCCGCCUUCCGGCGUAGACCUCUUCACAUCAUCCUUCAUGUCUUGUCGAAUGUAAAAUGCGUAAACGCAAUCUAAAAA